This 72-nucleotide transfer RNA is filed under the name Spirochaetaceae bacterium. RNAcentral's name for it is "tRNA-Val". It matches the Rfam family "tRNA". Rfam says of the family: Transfer RNA (tRNA) molecules are approximately 80 nucleotides in length. The record is from RNAcentral. Lineage: Bacteria; Pseudomonadati; Spirochaetota; Spirochaetia; Spirochaetales; Spirochaetaceae.
GGGCGUUUAGCUCAGUGGGAGAGCGCCUGCCUUACAAGCAGGAUGUCGGCGGUUCAAAUCCGUCAACGCCCA